GGCUCAGGAUGAACGCUAGCUACAGGCUUAACACAUGCAAGUCGGCGGGGCAGCAUGUAUCUGGCUUGCCAGAUACGAUGGCGACCGGCGCACGGGUGAGUAACGCGUAUCCAGCCUGCCCAUAACCACGGCACAGCCCGUCGAAAGGCGGAUUAAUGCCGUAUGAGGUUCCAGAGUAGCAUUAUUAUGGAACGAAAGGAUUGGCGGUUAUGGAUGGGGAUGCGUCCGAUUAGCUUGUUGGCGGGGUAACGGCCCACCAAGGCGACGAUCAGUAGGGGUUCUGAGAGGAAGGUCCCCCACAUUGGAACUGAGACACGGUCCAAACUCCUACGGGAGGCAGCAGUGAGGAAUAUUGGUCAAUGGGCGAAAGCCUGAACCAGCCAAGUAGCGUGCAGGAUGACGGCCCUAUGGGUUGUAAACUGCUUUUAUAAGGGAAUAAAGUGAGAGUCGUGACUCUUUUUGUAUGUACCUUAUGAAUAAGGACCGGCUAAUUCCGUG
Molecule: ribosomal RNA, 498 nt
Filed under: uncultured bacterium
Lineage: Bacteria
Description: bacterial SSU rRNA
Rfam family: Bacterial small subunit ribosomal RNA
Source: RNAcentral